GACGAACGCUGGCGGCGUGCUUAACACAUGCAAGUCAAGGGGAAAGGUUAAUUUCGGUUGACCGAGUAUACUGGCGAACGGGUGAGUAACGCGUAGGUAACCUGCCUAUGAGUUUGGGAUAACACUACCAACGUGGUGCUAAUACUGGAUGAGGCCUUCUGCUCACAUGGGUAGGGGGUUAAAGCGGGCGCAAGCCUGUGCUCAUAGAUGGACCUGCGUCUCAUUAGCUAGUUGGUGAGGUAGAGGCUCACCAAGGCGACGAUGGGUAGCCGACCUGAGAGGGUGACCGGCCACACUGGGACUGAGAUACGGCCCAGACUCCUACGGGAGGCAG
RNAcentral lists this ribosomal RNA (334 nucleotides) under uncultured Deferribacteres bacterium. RNAcentral's name for it is "bacterial SSU rRNA". It matches the Rfam family "Bacterial small subunit ribosomal RNA", at positions 28 to 351 of the family's 1533-position model. The record is from RNAcentral. Lineage: Bacteria; Pseudomonadati; Deferribacterota; Deferribacteres.